GACGUAGGGCGCGAGCGUUGUCCGGAUUUAUUGGGCGUAAAGAGCUCGUAGGCGGCUUGUCGCGUCGUGUGUGAAAUCUCAGGGCUCAACUCUGACAUUGCAUACGAUACGGGCAGGCUUGAGUUCGGUAGGGGAGACUGGAAUUUACGGUGUAGCAGUGAAAUGCGUAGAUAUCGUAAGGAAGACCAGUGGCGAAGGCGAGUCUCUGGACAGUUACUGACGCUGAGGCACGAAGGCUAGGGGAGCAAACGGG
This 253-nucleotide ribosomal RNA is filed under the name uncultured bacterium. RNAcentral describes it as "partial 16S ribosomal RNA". It matches the Rfam family "Bacterial small subunit ribosomal RNA", at positions 524 to 776 of the family's 1533-position model. The record is from RNAcentral.